RNAcentral lists this long non-coding RNA (282 nucleotides) under Monodelphis domestica (gray short-tailed opossum). Its description in RNAcentral is "lncRNA (ENSMODG00000044306.1)". The record is from RNAcentral. Lineage: Eukaryota; Metazoa; Chordata; Mammalia; Didelphimorphia; Didelphidae.
AUGGAGUCCAAUCCAGAUUCAAUAAAACGGGGAGUGGGGAGAACCAUUUUAAUGAUUCAGAUUGUCCACACUCUGCAGAACCAUCAAUCAGAUCAGAGCUCGGCACGCCUCGUUCCAGACGUCCAGACCUCGCACUCUAUAAAUCCUUUCUGCCCUUGCCCCAGAGUUGCUGACUAUAUGUAUUUUGGGCCCCGGCUUUAAUUCCCUCAUCCUUGGCUGGUGACAUGAAGAUUUGUAACUGAUAGAAUGUGUUUUUAAUGUAUUUCCUGCAGGUUGCUAUUA